CCUACGGGGUGCAGCAGUGAGGAAUAUUGGUCAAUGGACGAGAGUCUGAACCAGCCAAGUAGCGUGAAGGAUGACUGCCCUAUGGGUUGUAAACUUCUUUUAUAUGGGAAUAAAAUGUUCCACGUGUGGGAUUUUGUAUGUACCAUAUGAAUAAGGAUCGGCUAACUCCGUGCCAGCAGCCGCGGUAAUACGGAGGAUCCGAGCGUUAUCCGGAUUUAUUGGGUUUAAAGGGAGCGUAGGUGGAUUGUUAAGUCAGUUGUGAAAGUUUGCGGCUCAACCGUAAAAUUGCAGUUGAAACUGGCAGUCUUGAGUACAGUAGAGGUGGGCGGAAUUCGUGGUGUAGCGGUGAAAUGCUUAGAUAUCACGAAGAACUCCGAUUGCGAAGGCAGUUCACUGGACUGCAACUGACACUGGGGCUCGAAAGUGUGGGUAUCAAACAGGAUUAGAUACCCGAGUAGUC
Molecule: ribosomal RNA, 460 nt
Filed under: uncultured bacterium
Lineage: Bacteria
Description: partial 16S ribosomal RNA
Rfam family: Bacterial small subunit ribosomal RNA
Source: RNAcentral